This 210-nucleotide ribosomal RNA is filed under the name uncultured bacterium. Its description in RNAcentral is "partial 16S ribosomal RNA". It matches the Rfam family "Bacterial small subunit ribosomal RNA", at positions 1289 to 1500 of the family's 1533-position model. The record is from RNAcentral.
CAGUUCGGAUUGAAGGCUGAAAUUCGCCUUCAUGAAGCCGGAAUUGCUAGUAAUGGCAGGUCAGCAUACUGCCGUGAAUACGUUCCCGGGCCUUGUACACACCGCCCGUCACACCAUGAGAGUUGGGAAUACCCGAAGCCUGUGAGCUAACGUAAGGGGCAGCAGUCGAAGGUAGAAUCAAUGAUUGGGGUGAAGUCGUAACAAGGUACC